UGAACCUGCGGAAGGAUCAUUACACAAUAUGAAAGCGGGUUGGGACCUCAUCUCGGUGGGGGUCCAGCUUGUCUGAAUUAUUCACCCAU
Molecule: ribosomal RNA, 89 nt
Filed under: Paradendryphiella sp. KUC21227
Lineage: Eukaryota; Fungi; Ascomycota; Dothideomycetes; Pleosporales; Pleosporaceae
Description: partial 18S ribosomal RNA
Source: RNAcentral